RNAcentral lists this ribosomal RNA (491 nucleotides) under uncultured bacterium. RNAcentral's name for it is "partial 16S ribosomal RNA". It matches the Rfam family "Bacterial small subunit ribosomal RNA", at positions 29 to 506 of the family's 1533-position model. The record is from RNAcentral.
AGUGAACGCUGGCGGUAGGCCUAACACAUGCAAGUCGAACGGCAGCACAGUAAGAGCUUGCUCUUACGGGUGGCGAGUGGCGGACGGGUGAGGAAUACAUCGGAAUCUACUUUUUCGUGGGGGAUAACGUAGGGAAACUUACGCUAAUACCGCAUACGACCUACGGGUGAAAGCAGGGGAUCUUCGGACCUUGCGCGAUUGAAUGAGCCGAUGUCGGAUUAGCUAGUUGGCGGGGUAAAGGCCCACCAAGGCGACGAUCCGUAGCUGGUCUGAGAGGAUGACCCGCCACAACGGAACUGGGGCACGGUUCAGGCUCCCACGGGAGGCAGGAGUGGGGAAUUUUGGGCAAUGGGCGGCAGCCUGAUCCAGCCAUACCGCGUGGGUGAAGAAGGCCUUCGGGUUGUAAAGCCCUUUUGUUGGGAAAGAAAAGCAGCAGGUUAAUACCCCGCUGUUCUGACGGUACCCAAAGAAUAAGCACCGGCUAACUUCGU